UCUGAAUAAGCGAAUAAGCAAGCUUUUGGCUCUAAAAGUCACAAGUAAUGAGAGAGAGAGAGAGAGAGAGAGAGAGAGAGAGAGAGAGAGAGAGCCGUGACUUGAAGCAGGAAGACCAGAGGGAAAUCUGGUCCGUCUGGGAGACGAAACUUGCUGCUCUUCUUGGCCACCAUUUGCCAGGGCCUCGCUUUAGACGCCUAAAGGAACCUGUUUGUGAGCUGUGGUUACAUUCUGAUGUGACUGGAUCUUGUCUUCUGCCUUGGAUCCUCGAUUCUGGACGGGCUGGAUUUAGGGGCCACAGUGCCUGGCGCGGAGAGAUCAAAUGAGACUGCAAAGACACAUAAAAUGAAUAGACUAUCCAACCAACCAAAGACCGGGGGCAGCAGCACGCCAGCAAGACAGCAUCUUCUCCUCCCCAGCCUAGAAGCCCUGUGAAAUCGAGGAUCUUCCCCCUAAAACACUCACAUACAAGAUAUGUGCAAUCAAGCUGCCAGCACUUGGUAAAAAGCUCAUGAUGCCUAACCCAGUGAUCGGGAGCAGAUCCUUGAAACGGCUGUCACUUCUCUAGAAUUGGAUUUUUCCCCCUUCCUCCUUAACCUGCGCUGGAAAUUGCCGUUGGCUUUGUACAUCUCUGUAGAGGAAGGCUAAAGUCUUGCGUGAAAAUGAAGCAAUUUACAAUGCAAAUAGAGGCCUGUGAAGUGACGGACGCUGCUGCUCAGUCUAACAGCUUUGCUGCACCUUAAGUAGCUGGUCUUAUUUUCUGAUAUUAAUAGAUGAAUUGUUGCCUAACGCUGCCGGAGAUUACUUGCUGGAAGGGGAAAAAAAUGUUUGGAAUAAACUCUGAAUGCAACAGAUCUUAUUUGGAUGUUUUAGCUGCACACACACAGAAACCAGGUCAUAUUUACAUAGAAGGAGGAAUCUUAACCGCGGGCAAGUAUCCUGAUGGACUACUCUUGAGUAACGCCAGCCAGAAAGGACCUGGAUCUGGAGUCCCGCCAGAGGAAGACCCAGCCUUGUGAGCGAAGCGAGUUGUUAUCUUUGGUUAUCUAGCUGUAUGAGUGUAUUGGUCUUCAUAAAGCUAGAUAACCGAAAGUAAAAACUCCUUCAAGAUCGCCGAGGAAUGUGCAAGAAAGAAAGACUACAAACAAGAGACAGUAAAAACCAGAAAGGUCAGGAAUACUUAUUGAAUCUAACUUUUUUCCUCUCUUAUGAUUAAAAGUGGGAUGCAAGGAAAUUAAGUGACACACCUAUGUUGAAAUCUAAAGGGGUUAGGUUUGGAGAGGGAUUGUAGAACUGCAAAAGAGAAUUGUGUAGUAUUACUGAGUGAAGAUGCACGUACAGUUUGUUGUAUUUUAAGGCAUUUUUUUACAAUAAGAGGAAGUUCCUCUUUUUUUUUUUUUUUUUGCCUUAGCUGUUGUAGUGAUGUCUGAUACCUAUUUAAAAACGAUUCUAUAACUAUGUAGAUUUGGACAGUUCCCCUCUGAGGCCCCUCCCCCCACGUUUGAAACACGUUUGGAAACGACUUUCUAUGUAUUUGGGGCUGUACAUCAAAUUCUACCAAGUUAGGCUUUCAGAAAAGUUUUUGCUGGAAGGUUAAUAAUUUAUACCUACUGAGGACUUAGAACUAGCAGGGAAAAUGAAAAAAAAAAAAAAAAAAAAAAAAAAAAGCAAAGGCUGAUUUUUAUUCUUCUAUUCAAAAUACAAGGACAGAUGCUUCUCUGUUCCAAGAGGGUUUCCUUGAGGAAGCUACUGAAGCAGAAAGGCAUGAUGGAGACGAGAUCGCCUCCCCUCUUGUCAAAGUGUUAAAAAAAUGUUCUGUCUUACUCUGUGCCUAGCAUUGGAAAUGAAAGUGACAUUUACGCCACAACCCACGUGUGCGCCUCCUCUCUUUUUGUUUAAGGAUGAUCAGGUCUAUCCAGGAAACAGCUCUGGCAUCCCAAACUGAAAUAAUUAGGACGUAUAUAGACCUGACAAAAAUGGAAAGGGGGUGGGGAAUCUGAGGGUCUGUCUUGCCUAAUUGAUUCCGCUAAACGGAAUGCAGGAGAUGUGAACGGCAGGACGCUCCGAUUCCCACGCUCGGGGGCAAGUGGUAAAGCGGGGCGGCAGCCUAUGACAGACAGCCCUGUUGGGGGGUAGGGGUAUGAAAAAAACAUCAAGCGUGCACACCAUACUCAUCUCCAUCGCUUAAGAAAGUAAAGGCAUUUCCCACCCACAGCCAUCUGCAGCCUCCCAAAUGGCAACACCAACUGCUUGGUAUCUGCUACGAACUGUCUGUUUCUGUCAAUUUUUUAACCACUGUUUAAUCUGACCAUGAUUACAUUUGGCUUUCUUCUUUGGUUGAGAUUUUCAUUAUAUAAGGAAAGUCCCAGUGCAGCCUGCCCCUCCUCUCCUGUGAAAUCUUGUCUGUAUUUAGGACCUUGUGAUAACUUUUUGGCUUUUGUUUUGGCUGCGUUAUUAAAAACACAUCUAGCUAUAAGGGUCAUUAUUAUGACUUCAUCAGGUUGUUUACCUUAAUGUGACACACUUAGGAACUUGGCCUGUUUUAUGCUACUCUGGAAAUAAAACUAUAAAGUCCUGAGCCUAUAGAAAGUUUUUUUACAAUAGCAAUGUGAUCAAAAGUUGUUUCACAAUAGUCCUAGUAGGAUGUGUUUUAAACAGUCAUUUUUAUUUAACCUAGAACUGGACUUAGCACUAACUUUAAGGUUUUGGACAAACUCACUGCAAUCCUUUUCUAAAAUUCCUUAUAUUUUGCUACAUGUUACCACACACAUUUGUACAGACAUUUGCACAUAAAUGUAAUCAUUGCAAUAAGAAAAUGUCAACUGUAGCCUGUUAUCUCCCACAUGGCCUAGAUUACUGAUACUCCCAAAUAUAUAAUUUUCCUUCAGUGACAGUACACUUUUUGUGGCUUCAACUUCUUAUAAGACUUGAGACUGGAAAAGCCUGUAUAACCACUCUUGUUUCAUUUAGAAAUUCUGAGAGAGACUUUAAUAACAAAAAUUCUCAAUUUGGCUGCUGAACACGUGCCAAAGUUUUACUACUGUAGUGACUGUUGAGAAGACCCUUGUUUAUUUACAUUUGAAGCACUGUUUGUGCAAACAACCUUUCAUUGUUAAGUGCCUGUAUUCCUUUCAUUUGCUUCAUGUCCAGGGGUGCUAUUUACCUAGAACCAUUGUCUAACUACAAUUAACAUUUACAUUACAAAGUGUGUGGUUUUCUUUCUCAAGGAGGUUCAAUUAAGGCAAUAAGAUGUUUGCUGGGGAAACCUAUUGUUUACUGAAGGCACUCAAUGGAGUCAAAUUACUGAAGCUUUUGCCUACAUCUUGGUCUUUUAUGUAAAUAUGUUAAAUAUAACAUCUAAGGAAAAUAAACAAUAUUAAAAUUAUGUGUUUGCCAUUGUCAUAUCAAACUUGCUUUGUAUCAUACUAAUGUUGCAUAACUUA
Long non-coding RNA from Nannospalax galili (Upper Galilee mountains blind mole rat), 3443 nucleotides. RefSeq lists it as uncharacterized. The record is from RefSeq and is a predicted model, not a curated record. NCBI's taxonomy places the organism in Eukaryota, Metazoa, Chordata, Mammalia, Rodentia, Spalacidae. The transcript has 4 exons.